GUAGCAAAAUCAUUUGUUUUUUAAUUGAGAACUGGAAUGAAAGGUUUAACAAAUAUACGUGUUUUUAUUUUUUAGUAUUAAAAUUUUUAAUUUGUGUAAAAAUACAUAAAUAACUAAAAGGGACGAUAAGACCCUAAAAGCUUUAUUAUUAGGAUUUUUAUUAUUGUUUUAAUUUGAUUAUUAAUUAUAUUUUAACUGGGGCGGUUGUUUUUAUAACAAAAAUUUUUUUCACAAGUAGGGUUUAAGAUCCUUAACAUUAGGAUAAAUUGUUUAAGUUACUUUAGGGUUAACAGCAUAAUAAUGAUGGGGAGACCUUAUUCAUAUUGUUGAUUGUGACCUCGAUGUUGAAUUAAGAUCUUCUAUAUAAAGCAGAAAUUAUAUAUGAAAGUUUGUUCAACUUUUGAAAUCUU
Molecule: ribosomal RNA, 410 nt
Filed under: Platorchestia sp. 2 TT-2020
Lineage: Eukaryota; Metazoa; Arthropoda; Malacostraca; Amphipoda; Talitridae
Description: partial 16S ribosomal RNA
Source: RNAcentral